Molecule: long non-coding RNA, 1486 nt
Organism: Phyllopteryx taeniolatus (common seadragon)
Lineage: Eukaryota; Metazoa; Chordata; Actinopteri; Syngnathiformes; Syngnathidae
Exons: 3
Source: RefSeq, a predicted model, not a curated record
GUUGUGUGCUGCCACCUGGUGGAGGAAGGUUUCCAGUGCUGCACAGUAUGGCUGCAAGUUCCCCAAACCGAGGAAACCUACAGACGGAUUGUACUCAAUAUCCCACUCAACAAACGGAAACAAAGAGAACCAGCUAGGAAGUGUUGUAUGGUCUAGACUUUCUCACCAAGCUGUCUGGCGGCCUUUGCUGUUGCAUUCAUCUGAGCCUUUACAGGAAGAGGAGGAAACUUGGCACAUCCUCCUGAGCGAAGAGGUGCUGCUGCAGCCAUUCAAAAUCCUCAUAAGUCCGGUCCACAUGGUACUCUCCCGUCCCAGACAGCUGCCCCCAACAGGAGAGACAAGAGAGUUAUGCUAUGACAUCCAAUCAUCUGAUUUCACAAACUUUGACCACAACAUUAGGUACACCUGCAGUUCGAGCUGGUGCUAAAGUUCAGCCUUUGUAAAGGUUACUUUUGGCUGACACUGUCAAGGAGGUAUUCAUUUAAUGUUUAUUACUGCAUUAUGGUUGUAGUUUGCUGAGGUGUAAAACUGCACAACGCCAUUCUGAACACUGAAAAAGGCAGGACUUUUCAUAUAGCUUGUGCCAUGGACCUCAUUAGAUUGAAAGGUGCCCAUGAUUUCAUCGUUGUUGUUGUUUUUAACGAACUCUUUGGACUUUCAAUCCAUGUAAAAAGAACAGCAAUGGACAAAAUAAUCAUGAAGUAACUUACAACUAUCUAUUUUAUGUAGAAGAACCCUUAUACAGUCCCCUUGGUUCUUGCACUUAAUAUAACAUCAUCAACAAAAACUAUAUCAAAAUACAGUACAUCAGAGAGUAGAAUGACCUGACCAAUUCGUCAGCAGAAUGAAGCUGAGAAAACACAUUUUAGCCUUUGUCAUGCCAAAAACAUUAACUAGGGCCCAAUAAGUGAUCUUAGUUUGUUAAUUGUUGUUAAAAAAGGCCUUGAGGCUGGUGUGGAAACGCAAGUAUUUAUCCUUUAAGUUAGAGGCGUGCUAAAACCAAGAAUGGUAUCCUGCUUUUGGGAUGCAAAAUGACAGUGGUUAAGAUACAUACAAUUUGUGAGUACUUUGAAACAUAAUUAUCAUUUCAAUUAAGUACUUUUUGUUUGGGGGUGUGCUGUGAAUUUUUUUUCGAAUGUAAAAUAUGUGCCUCGGUUCAAUAACGUUUGUAGACACUGACUCCCGUGUUCAACAAUGGCGCUGGCUAUGGCCGUGUUCCAGGUCCACAACCUCACAGCAGUUGGAGCUCUCCGGUGCAGGCCCUUUUUGCACAAAUAUAAGUAAGUCUUUAUCUCCAGAUGUUUCUAGUUCAAUCUACAUUUCCAGAAUUCAAAACUGAGUUUUGUAUCUGUUUUGUAGGAGUCAGAUGUUUGCUUCACAUUUUCCAUUUCUAGUGCACGCUGUUACUGUAUUAAAUUUUUCUUACUUUUUGAGACACAAUUAGAAAGGUAAGUCCAUCUCCGUCUUGCAGCACCUCUGCAACCUU